UGAGGAAUAUUGGUCAAUGGACGAGAGUCUGAACCAGCCAAGUAGCGUGAAGGAUGAAGGUCCUACGGAUUGUAAACUUCUUUUAUAAGGGAAUAAACCCUCCCACGUGUGGGAGCUUGUAUGUACCUUAUGAAUAAGCAUCGGCUAACUCCGUGCCAGCAGCCGCGGUAAUACGGAGGAUGCGAGCGUUAUCCGGAUUUAUUGGGUUUAAAGGGAGCGCAGACGGGUCGUUAAGUCAGCUGUGAAAGUUUGGGGCUCAACCUUAAAAUUGCAGUUGAUACUGGCGUCCUUGAGUGCGGUUGAGGUGUGCGGAAUUCGUGGUGUAGCGGUGAAAUGCUUAGAUAUCACGAAGAACUCCGAUUGCGAAGGCAGCACACUAAUCCGUAACUGACGUUCAUGCUCGAAAGUGUGGGUAUCAAACA
Molecule: ribosomal RNA, 422 nt
Filed under: uncultured bacterium
Lineage: Bacteria
Also listed under: 1 other name
Description: bacterial SSU rRNA
Rfam family: Bacterial small subunit ribosomal RNA
Source: RNAcentral